This 440-nucleotide ribosomal RNA is filed under the name uncultured bacterium. Its description in RNAcentral is "partial 16S ribosomal RNA". It matches the Rfam family "Bacterial small subunit ribosomal RNA", at positions 339 to 795 of the family's 1533-position model. The record is from RNAcentral.
CUACGGGACGCACCAGUGGGGAAUAUUGCACAAUGGGCGAAAGCCUGAUGCAGCAACGCCGCGUGAGUGAAGAAGGCCUUCGGGUCGUAAAACUCUUUUCUUGGGGAAGAAAUGAUGACGGUACCCAAGGAAUAAGCCCCGGCUAAUUACGUGCCAGCAGCCGCGGUAAUACGUAAGGGGCAAGCGUUAUCCGGAAUCACUGGGCGUAAAGGGUGCGUAGGUGGUCCUGUAAGUCAGAAGUGAAAGGCUACGGCUUAACCGUAGUAAGCUUUUGAAACUGUGGGACUUGAGUGCAGGAGAGGAAAGUGGAAUUCCUAGUGUAGCGGUGAAAUGCGUAGAUAUUAGGAGGAACACCAGUGGCGAAGGCGACUUUCUGGACUGUAACUGACACUGAGGCACGAAAGCGUGGGGAGCAAACAGGAUUAGAUACCCCCGUAGUC